AACGAACGCUGGCGGCAUGCCUAACACAUGCAAGUCGAGCGCCCGUAGCAAUACGGGAGCGGCGCACGGGUGAGUAACGCGUGGGAACCUGCCCAGAGGUUCGGGACAACCGCGGGAAACUGCGGCUGAUACCGGAUGAUACCUGAGGGUCAAAGAUUUAUCGCCUUUGGAGGGGCCCGCGUCAGAUUAGGUAGUUGGUGAGGUAACGGCUCACCAAGCCUGUGAUCUGUAACUGGUCUGAGAGGAUGACCAGUCACACUGGGACUGAGACACGGCCCAGACUCCUACGGGAGGCAGCAGUGGGGAGUAUUGGACAAUGGGGGCAACCCUGAUCCAGCAAUGCCGCGUGGGUGAUGAAGGCCUUCGGGUUGUAAAGCCCUUUCGGCGGGGACGAUGAUGACGGUACCCGCAGAAGAAGCCCCGGCUAACCUCGUGCCAGCCGCCGCUGUAA
This 451-nucleotide ribosomal RNA is filed under the name uncultured bacterium. Its description in RNAcentral is "partial 16S ribosomal RNA". It matches the Rfam family "Bacterial small subunit ribosomal RNA", at positions 29 to 523 of the family's 1533-position model. The record is from RNAcentral.